UAAUCCUCGUGCCCAAAACUUAAUUGGGUCAAAUUUUAAUAAUAUUAUCAUUAUAAUUAUUUUAAUCAUUAACAUUAAUCAUAAAACUUUCACGAUCUAUACUUUAAUUUUACUCAUAUCUAAUAACAAGUAAGAACUUUAACAUUAUGUUCAUUAUCAUAAAUUUGAUGGAGAAAUUUAAUUGUUCAAAACCUAGAGUUUUG
This 203-nucleotide unclassified non-coding RNA is filed under the name Hevea brasiliensis (rubber tree). The record is from RNAcentral. Lineage: Eukaryota; Viridiplantae; Streptophyta; Magnoliopsida; Malpighiales; Euphorbiaceae.